RNA transcript from Solanum pennellii, 2913 nucleotides. It is a transcript of the gene named zeatin O-glucosyltransferase-like, with no coding region annotated. The record is from RefSeq and is a predicted model, not a curated record. The transcript has 2 exons. NCBI's taxonomy places the organism in Eukaryota, Viridiplantae, Streptophyta, Magnoliopsida, Solanales, Solanaceae.
CAUAAUCACAUACCUUAUUUUCUUUGUAUUAUUAUCAUCUGAUAUUUCAAGAUUUAUACACCUUCCAAGAACAACUUUUUCUUGGAAGAUCAUCAAAAAAAAUUCAAGUCUUAUCAAAUUUCAUAGACAUUAGGGAGGAUCCGACAGAAGUACGAAAUUUCGAUAUUUCCACAAACAUGUGUAGCAACAUACAACAAGAUGAAGUAGCUAUAGUUAUGGUUCCAUUUCCAGCACAAGGCCAUCUCAAUCAACUUCUUCAACUAUCCUGUUUAAUCUCAUCAUCAUAUGAUCUCCUGUCUAUUAUGUUGGCUCAGCUAUACAUAAUCGUCAAGCUCGUGUUCGAGCCAACGCCUUAAAUCCAUCAUACAUAGCCAAAAUCCAUUUCCAUGACAUCCCAACUCCUGAAUUUGCCUCACCACCACCUGACUUUAAUGCCUUGAGCAAAUUCCCAUCACAACUUCAGCCAUUAUGGGAUGCUUCUAUGCUUCUUCGCGAGUCCAUUGCUUCCUUCUUACGCGAUAUUUCUUCAAAAGCAAGACGAGUCAUUGUUGUUCAUGAUUCUUUAAUGUCUUAUAAUGUUCAGGAUGUUUCGUCCUUGCUCAAUGCGGAAUCAUAUGUAUUUAAUUGCAUUUCAGUGUUCACUUUGUAUUGUUUGAUAUCAUUGUCUAUGGGAAUGCAUGUUCAACUUGAAGAGGGAUUGCUUAAAAAGUUACCUUCCAUUGAAGGAACUUUGACAGAUAAAAUCAAGAAUCUUGGAGCUUCUCAGAGACCAUAUAUGGAUAUUAGAUCAGGUGAUAUCCAUAAUACAAGUAAAGUAAUCGAAGGCGAGUUUCUUGAUUUGCUUGUACAAGUAGCAAGUAAACAGGAGAAGAAACAAUGGGCAAUUGGACCAAUUUUGCCUAUUAAACUAGAUUAUGUCUUGAAUAAGAAUGAUAUAUGUCUCGAGUGGCUAAACAAACAACCGCCAAGAUCAGUUCUAUAUGUAUCUUUCGGAACAACAACUUCACUUUCUGAUAGGGAAAUUAAGGAGCUCGCGAUGGGAUUAGAGCAGAGCAAACAGAGGUUUUUAUGGGUGUUGAGAGAUGCUGAUAGAGGUGAUAUCUUUACCGGAGAAGCUAGAAGACUUGAGUUGCUGGAAGGAUUUGAAGAAAGAGUAAAAGGGGUUGGGUUAGUGGUGAGAGAAUGGGCACCACAGCCAGAAAUCUUGGCUCAUUCGUCCACGGGGGGUUUCAUGAGUCAUUGCGGAUGGAAUUCUUGCAUUGAGAGUAUUACUAUGGGAGUGCCAAUAGCUGCUUGGCCUAUGCAUUCUGACCAACCAAAAAAUGGUUUCUUGGUUACGGAAUUGUUGAAAAUAGGCCUGAUUGUGAGGGAGUGGGAGAAACGCGAGGAGCUGGUGAGUGCAUCCACUAUUGAGAAAGUUGUGAGGAAGUUGAUGGCAUCAGAAGAAGGUGAUGCAAUUAGGAAAAGAGCAGAAGAAUUGGGAGAAACAGUAAGGCGGUCCACAGAGAAAGGGGGUGCUUCUCGAAUGGAGUUGGAUUCUUUCAUAGCGUAUAUCACAAGAUAGACUUGAUUUGGCUCUCAGUGUGGUGAACUUUUCGAUUCAUUGUAUAUAUCCAUUUCCACUGCAUUGACACGACAAAUACUACUAUUGGAGUGAAUCAAGGGAUUGUGUCUUUUGGAGCUCCUUUAGCAGCUUGGACAAUACAUUCAGAUCAGCCAAGGAAUUCUCAACUUGUAACAAAGUACAUGAAAAUUGGAGUAAUUGUUAGGCCAUGGACGCGUUAUGAUGAACUUGUAACAUCAGAGAGUUGAAAUGCUGUGAAAAACAUUGAUGACUUCAAAAGAGGGAGAUGAGAUGAGGGAAAAAGCAACAAUUUUGAGCAAUGCUAUGCUGGAUGGUGGCAUCAACCGCCCUAGAUGGACCUUCAUUGCUCACAUUACUCGUUGAAAUAAUAAGAAUUUAUGCAAGAAUUCAACAAUAGAUUUUAUAGGAAUAACUUGUGUUUUAUUUAUGUGUGAAUGAAGAAGAAGAGACUACAAGAAUUGCACAGAAACAGCUAUAAUUAUUACAUGCAUAGAAGCGCGGUUUUUAUUGCCAUUAUAAUAUGUAAACUGGAAAUAUAACAACCUUCAAACAAUUUCACAUACUCCUGGACAAUCUUACAUCGGGUUUCAACGAGCAAUGUGGGCGAUGAAAGAAUCCAUCUCAGCGCGGUUCAUGCCCCCAUCCAUCUGACUUUUUGAUAGCAUUGCUCAAAACUGCAGCUCUUUUCCUCAUCUCAUCUCCCUCUGAUGAAGCCAUCAAUGUUCUCACAGCAUUUUCAACUAUCUCUGAUGUAACCACUUCAUUAUGACGCGCCCAUGGUCUAACAAUUAGUCCAAUUUUCAAGUACUUUGUUAUAAGUUGAGAAUUCCUUGGCUGAUCUGAAUGCAUUGGCCAUGCUGCUAUAGGAACUCCAAAGGACAUACUCUCUAUACACGAAUUCCAUCCGCAAUGACUCAUAAAACCGCCAGUUGAACUAUGUGCUAAAAUUUCCAAUUGUGGUGCCCAAUCUCUAACUAUAAUCCCUCUUUCUUUUGUUCUCUCUUCAUAUCCUUCAGGCAAUUGUGCUUUCCUAACUUCACUUGUAAAAACAUCUCAUUUGUCAGCAUCUCGGAGCACCCAAACAAACUUCUGGCAACUCUUCUCUAGUCCAAUCGCAAGCACUUUGAUUUCUUCAUCACACAAUGAAGUAGUCGUGCCAAAUGACACGAAAAUAAAUGAGUUGCGCUCUUGUUUGUCAAGCCAAUGAAGGGACUCGUGGCGUUUGUUCGAGUCUUUGCUCUUCUCUUGUGGCUCCAUGGGGUUGAAUGGACCUAUAGCCCAUUGCUUCAUACCAUCGUAUUCUUUGGCCAUUAAAUCAAGGUACAAAC